RNAcentral lists this long non-coding RNA (432 nucleotides) under Numida meleagris (helmeted guineafowl). Its description in RNAcentral is "lncRNA (ENSNMEG00000022124.1)". Lineage: Eukaryota; Metazoa; Chordata; Aves; Galliformes; Numididae. The record is from RNAcentral.
AAUGCAAUGACAUAUGUGAGUUGGAGCUGCUAUAAGAAUAGCUCAUCGCAUUUACUGAUGAACUUCAAAGGAGAUAUGAGCUUCAUGACACACUCCGAGAGUGAGUAGCAUUUUACUUCAAACAUAAGGACUGCUACAACAGGAACAACCAGAAACACUGCACAAAAGACUGAAGACAGUCUGCUGCAGGAGGAGGAGGGUUUGGCAUUGCAGCACAGGAAUGACCUGGUGAUGAGGCACUUGGCUGACAAGUCUGUGAAUGGGAUCAAAAUACCACUGAAUUCAGUGAGGGUCUUCCUAUCAGUCUAAGCCAGCUUGGAUCAGGCCUGUGGUACACAUCUGGAUGCAGUUUGUUCAUAUGUGCUUGUGCUAUCCCACCUUUUAUCCAGUAUCACUUUUUGAAGUGGUUAAGGAAUAAAUUUUACAUUUAAU